RNAcentral lists this transfer RNA (76 nucleotides) under Terriglobia bacterium. Its description in RNAcentral is "tRNA-Ala". It matches the Rfam family "tRNA". From Rfam's summary of the family: Transfer RNA (tRNA) molecules are approximately 80 nucleotides in length. Their secondary structure includes four short double-helical elements and three loops (D, anti-codon, and T loops). Lineage: Bacteria; Pseudomonadati; Acidobacteriota; Terriglobia. The record is from RNAcentral.
GGGCGGCUAGCUCAGUUGGGAGAGCGCGGCGUUCGCAACGCCGAGGUCGUGGGUUCGAUCCCCACGCCGUCCACCA